AUCAGGAGUACCGGUGCUAACAGUCAAAUUCUGAUAUUGGUCACCAUGGACUAAAACUGGAGUUGUUCCCAUUGAAGUUAAUGGAGUUACUCCUGAUUCUCACUGGUGGGAAAUCAGAAACCUGGCCUGUAAUCUUGCACUUGAGUGCUUAGUUUGCCACCCUCAAGCAUGAGACCUUUCCCAAAACCAAGAUGCUGAAAGAACAUACUCCAUUCAGAUGGCCUGUUUCUAUGUUGCAGAUCUUGCUGGCCAAGGCACCUCCCUAUCUCACAGCUUCGUUUGCACGUUAUUUUGAAGUAAAACUUGAGUGUCCCCUCACUGCUGUGAUGACUGUACAGAAAUAAAACCUUAUACGCAGGUGGCAGCUUACUUUCCGUGGUACCUUUUCUUUGUUUGGGAGCUUCCUUUCUUCCUGUCCCCUUGCGGUCCUGUCUGAGGAACGAACUCCAUUCAAAAUUCUAGUAUCUGGAAGUUACAGCUGUGAGUUCGGAGUUGGUUUUGGCCUGAUCUGUAGAUGUGAAGAUGUAUCCAACAUGAGGCAAGGAAAGAAAAAACAUCGACAUGUUGCCAGUGGGUAAAGCCUCUGAUGGAUCUUCCCUUUUUAGGGCAGAUUGAUAUAGCACCCCUGGGAGUAUUGGGAUUCAGACUGACCUGCCCUUUCUGAGAUCAGCGUGCAUUUCCUUUAGCAUCACAAUAUAGUUCAUUGUACAGUUCAACAUUGACAAUUAUUGAAAAGGAGCUGUACAGAGAGCAGUAUUCCACCUUGAGCAGAAAAGCUUGAAGUAUUCGGUGUACCAGAUCCUGUUGUUCACACACAGAACGGGUUACUUCAUCAUCUCUUAAAACCUGGGAGGCUGUGCUCUAGUUAAUUCCUUUAAAAUUUAGUUUCCGAAAUAGAAUUUGGAAUAAGUGCAGUUCUCAGAAGUGGCAAAGAAGGUGAAUAACUUUACGGUGGUAUAAAUAUAAACAGAGCAAGGCUCUAACGUUUGAGUCAUAGAUUUAAAAAAAAAACCCACAAAACAAAGCAACCCUGCAUCUGUAUUUCAUCUUACAUGAGUCACUCAGUUUAAAAAUGCUGGCACGUUUAGUAUAACUUUUUUUUUAACAGUGGCAGAUAUUCAACAGUAUACAUCUUUAGGGAUCUGCAAAAUGUU
Molecule: long non-coding RNA, 1154 nt
Organism: Alligator sinensis (Chinese alligator)
Lineage: Eukaryota; Metazoa; Chordata; Crocodylia; Alligatoridae
Exons: 3
Source: RefSeq, a predicted model, not a curated record